CAAAUUUCAAACAAGGAUAACAUAAAAUUAUCACCCUCUCCUCGAAGCAGCGACUUCUCAUAAUAGGGUUUCUUUUCCUAAAUAUUUUCCAAAAUCGGUCAUAUCGAUCAAAGAGGGGUUUAAAUGUUUUAGAAAUCUCUCAAAAUACUCUCUUCUACAGAAGCACCUGCGUUGAUUUCAAACGAUUAGCCGAAAAUCUUGUCUAAUCGAAGCUCUGUUUUCACGAUUUCAAAGAACAUACAUGGGGGUGCAAGGUAUGCUUAUUGAUUCUUAAUCUUAAACAUGCAUGUCGGAUUUUGGGUUGUUAAAGCUAAACCCUAGGUUUUAUUUCGACAAAUGUUCAUAUUGUUUUGUUGUUGAAGGACUUCGAAAAAGCAGCCAAAUAAGAAAUCGAGUGGUGGGAACUGGAGUAACACUAUAGACAAUCCUCUUAUCGUUGAUCAAAAUGAACCUAACGUACUACUUGGCCAUUCAGUUUCAAGCACAACUUUGAUGAAAGAAACAGAAGCGCCUGCGUUGAUUUCAAAGGAUUAGCCGAAAAUCUUGUYUAAUCGAAGCUCUGUUUUCACGAUUUCGAAGAACAUACAUGGAGGUUUUGUAGAAUGUUCUUCCCUUAUMUGUUUGAGUAGCUAGGUUUCAUCUUUUUAUUAUCUUAUCUAUUUGAGUAGUUAUGCAUGUUCUUCGAUUUCAAAAAAGAGAAGUAUGUAUGAUCUUGGCUUCUUCAUGUUCUUGUUGCCUAUGAGGCUAUGACUUUGUUUUGACCUUGCUUUUCUUGUAGUAUCCACAUUGUCAUCAAGAUUAUAAAUUUAUAAUGUAAUGUUUAUACGGUUAUUGUUUUUAAU
Long non-coding RNA from Cynara cardunculus var. scolymus (artichoke), 842 nucleotides. RefSeq lists it as uncharacterized. NCBI's taxonomy places the organism in Eukaryota, Viridiplantae, Streptophyta, Magnoliopsida, Asterales, Asteraceae. The record is from RefSeq and is a predicted model, not a curated record. The transcript is spliced from 2 exons.